RNAcentral lists this unclassified non-coding RNA (321 nucleotides) under uncultured fungus. RNAcentral's name for it is "partial contains 5.8S ribosomal RNA and internal transcribed spacer 2". The stretch from base 1 to 133 matches the Rfam family "5.8S ribosomal RNA", at positions 22 to 154 of the family's 154-position model. The record is from RNAcentral. Lineage: Eukaryota; Fungi.
UGGUUCUGGCAUCGAUGAAGAACGCAGCAAAAUGCGAUAAGUAGUGUGAAUUGCAGAAUUCAGUGAAUCAUCGAAUCUUUGAACGCACAUUGCGCCCUUUGGUAUUCCUUAGGGCAUGCCUGUUCGAGCGUCAUCUAUAAACUCAAGCGCAGCUUGGUGUUGGGCGCCUGUCCCGCCUCCGGCGCGGACUCGCCUCGAAACGAUUGGCGGCCCCUUUGGCGGUUCCGAGCGCAGCAGAAUUGCGUCUCGGGCGGCGGAACGGUGGCUCCCAGAAACAACCCCCCCAAGUUUGACCUCGGAUCAGGUAGGGAUACCCGCUGA